UGGGUUGUGGCUCAGUGGUAGAGCACUCACUUAGCACGUGUGAGGGACUAGGUUGGAUCCUUAGCAUCACAA
This 72-nucleotide transfer RNA is filed under the name Marmota marmota marmota (Alpine marmot). It matches the Rfam family "tRNA". Rfam says of the family: Transfer RNA (tRNA) molecules are approximately 80 nucleotides in length. Their secondary structure includes four short double-helical elements and three loops (D, anti-codon, and T loops). Lineage: Eukaryota; Metazoa; Chordata; Mammalia; Rodentia; Sciuridae. The record is from Rfam by way of RNAcentral. RNAcentral also lists the same sequence under 1 other name.